AGAAACUUAGGUUAACAUCUAAACCCAGAGCCUUCAAAGCCCUAAACAGAGAUAAA
This 56-nucleotide transfer RNA is filed under the name Bavayia robusta. RNAcentral describes it as "partial tRNA-Trp". Lineage: Eukaryota; Metazoa; Chordata; Lepidosauria; Squamata; Diplodactylidae. The record is from RNAcentral.